CUUUCCCUCUUUCUUCCUGCCUUACACGUGCAAGUCGAACGGUAACGGGCCUUCGGGUGCCGACGAGUGGCGAACGGGUGAGUAAUACAUCGGAACGUGCCCGAUCGUGGGGGAUAACGAGGCGAAAGCUUUGCUAAUACCGCAUACGAUCUACGGAUGAAAGCAGGGGACCGCAAGGCCUUGCGCGGACGGAGCGGCCGAUGGCAGAUUAGGUAGUUGGUGGGAUAAAAGCUUACCAAGCCGACGAGCUGUAGCUGGUCUGAGAGGAUGAUCAGCCACACUGGGACUGAGACACGGCCCAGACUCCUACGGGAGGCAGCAGUGGGGAAUUUUGGACAAUGGGCGCAAGCCUGAUCCAGCCAUGCCGCGUGCAGGAUGAAGGCCUUCGGGUUGUAAACUGCUUUUGUACGGAACGAAAAGCCUUCUUUUAAUACAGGAGGGUCAUGACGGUACCGUAAGAAUAAGCACCGGCUAACUACGUG
Molecule: ribosomal RNA, 482 nt
Filed under: uncultured bacterium
Lineage: Bacteria
Description: partial 16S ribosomal RNA
Rfam family: Bacterial small subunit ribosomal RNA
Source: RNAcentral